This 451-nucleotide long non-coding RNA is filed under the name Ananas comosus (pineapple). RNAcentral's name for it is "long non-coding RNA (ACOM_LNC017005)". The record is from RNAcentral. Lineage: Eukaryota; Viridiplantae; Streptophyta; Magnoliopsida; Poales; Bromeliaceae.
AACUGAAUUCACCAAAAAUAGAGUUGGGAUGAAAAUAUAUAUAUAUAUAUAUAUAUAUAUAUAUAUAUAGAGCUAGUCUUCUAUACUAUCUAUAGUACCGGUGCUCCGGUACUAUAGUCUCGUUUUCGAUUUUAGGUGUUCAAAUCAACGAUCCACAUUGUUAAAACUGAUUUAGAGUAUUUAAAGUUUUUAGAAAUAAAAUUUUAUAUUUUUUUGACAUACUUUACUUUAUGAUCAAAUCAUUUCAAAAUUGUCAAUUUUUAAUGGCUACUAUGGCGAGUUUGGAGUUUAAUGGUAUAGAAGAAUCUAAAUUUCUUCAAAUUUUGAUAGAAAAUUUUUUAAACUAUCUAGAUUAAGGUUAGCAUUAUUGAUCUUGAAUUUAAAAGUCCUAUGAUCAAAUUUUAAAGAUUAUUCAAUUUCCACCGUCCAUUUUGACAUAAUUUAUUUACUA